AUAAAACUUCUUCUUCCUUUGAAUGAAUUACUUCGGGGAUGCCAUUAGAAAAUAAUGACCAUAAGAAUCAUGUGGAAAUGGAGAGGGGAGGUCCAAUUUUAAAGGAAGAGAGGUUUGAAAGAGAUUCAGCUCAAAAGGAUGAAGGAAUAAAAUGAUAGAGCCAUGGGACAUCUCUAAUUAGAAAAUCUAUUCCAGACAC
Molecule: long non-coding RNA, 199 nt
Filed under: Elaeis guineensis (African oil palm)
Lineage: Eukaryota; Viridiplantae; Streptophyta; Magnoliopsida; Arecales; Arecaceae
Description: long non-coding RNA (EGUI_LNC024238)
Source: RNAcentral